AGUGAACGCUGGCGGUAGGCCUAACACAUGCAAGUCGAACGGCAGCACAGUAAGAGCUUGCUCUUACGGGUGGCGAGUGGCGGACGGGUGAGGUAUACAUCGUAAUCUACUUUUUCGUGGGGGAUAACGUAGGGAAACUUACGCUAAUACCGCAUACGACCUACGGGUGAAAGCAGGGGAUCUUCGGACCUUGCGCGAUUGAAUGAGUCGAUAUCGGAUUAGCUAGUUGGCGGGGGAAAGGCCCACCAAGGCGACGAUGCGUAGCUGGUCUGAGAGGAUGAUCCGCCACCCUGGAUCUGAGACACGGUCCCGACUCCUACGCGGGGACGCAGUGGGGAAUAUUGGGCGAUGGGCGAGAGCCUGAUCCAGCCAUACCGCGUGAGUGAAGAAGGACUUCGGGUUGUAAAGCCAUUUUGUUGGGAAAGAAAAGCAGCAGGUUAAUCCACGGCUGUUAUGACGGUACCCAAAGAAUAAGCCCCGGCUAACUUCGUG
This 492-nucleotide ribosomal RNA is filed under the name uncultured bacterium. Its description in RNAcentral is "partial 16S ribosomal RNA". It matches the Rfam family "Bacterial small subunit ribosomal RNA", at positions 29 to 507 of the family's 1533-position model. The record is from RNAcentral.